This 907-nucleotide ribosomal RNA is filed under the name Sugiura chengshanense. RNAcentral's name for it is "eukaryotic LSU rRNA". The stretch from base 667 to 907 matches the Rfam family "Eukaryotic large subunit ribosomal RNA", at positions 1 to 235 of the family's 3401-position model. The record is from RNAcentral. Lineage: Eukaryota; Metazoa; Cnidaria; Hydrozoa; Leptothecata; Sugiuridae.
GGCGCUAUCGGAGUUGCUUUUGUGAUUCCUUUAGACUGCCGAGAAGUCGCGCAAACUAAUCUAUUUAGAGGAAGUAAAAGUCGUAACAAGGUUUCCGUAGGUGAACCUGCGGAAGGAUCAUUACCGAAUGACCGUAUGUGUUAUACACUGUGAACUGUACGCUUCAAAACAGAGUGGGGUAUCUUCUGCUAAGAAGAUUUGAAAGGUAAUCAUAACGUGACAACCUGCCCCGCUUUGAAACUUUGAAACUUAUAUAUAUACACCAUUAUAUUCCAAGCGUUAACUAUUUUUAGUUGACUCAAUGUAAAAAUUGUGACAACUUCUAACGGUGGAUCUCUUGGCUCGUGUAUCGAUGAAGAACGUAGCCAGUUGCGAUAAGUAAUGUGAAUUGCAGAAUGAAGUGAAUCAUCGAAUCUUUGAACGCAAAUUGCACUCUCUGGAUAUCCGGGGAGUAUGCCUGUCUGAGUGUCGUGUCAAACCUAAACACACACUUGUGUGUGUUGCUUGAGGGCUCUUGUUACUUACUUGUAACAAGUCUCUUGAUGUUACUGUGAGUUGUUCGCACUAGUGAACAGAAGGCUCAACUUGCUUCUGUCUUUCUGACACUUGUGUGGGCACAUUAUUGUGUUUGUACUCUUUGCCAGUCCGAACAAUAUAUAACAUCUUUGACCUCAGAUCAGACAAGAUUACCCGCUGAAUUUAAGCAUAUUAAUAAGCGGAGGAAAAGAAACUAACCAGGAUUCCCUUAGUAACGGCGAGUGAAGCGGGAAGAGCUCAAGCUUGAAAUCUCUGUUGCUUGCAACAGCGAAUUGUAGUCUACGGAAGUAUUGUCAAGGCAAUGUGUUUGUGCUCAAGUUGCUUGGAACGGCAUGUCAAAGAGGGUGAGAACCCCGUUUGCGGCACAAAC